AGAGUUUGAUCCUGGCUCAGGACGAACGCUGGCGGCGUGCUUAACACAUGCAAGUCGAGCGGGGAUAUUGUUGGAAGGUUUCGGCUGGAAGAUAAUAUUCUAGCGGCGGACGGGUGAGUAACGCGUGAGCAAUCUGUCCCAGACAGGGGGAUAACAGAUGGAAACAUCUGCUAAUACCGCAUAAGACCACGGAUGGGCAUCCAUUUGAGGUAAAAGAUUUAUCGGUUUGGGGUGAGCUCGCGUCCGAUUAGGUAGUUGGUGAGGUAACGGCCCACCAAGCCCGCGAUCGGUAGCCGACCUGAGAGGGUGAUCGGCCACAUUGGAACUGAGACACGGUCCAUACUCCUACGGGAGGCAGCAGUAGGGAGUUUUCGGCAAUGGGGGAAACCCUGACCGAGCAACACCGCGUGAGUGAUGAAGGUCUUCGGAUUGUAAAACUCUGUUGUGUGGAAAAAAUGAUAGGUAGAGUGGAAAACUACUUAUUUGAUGGUACCACACCAGAAAGCCACGGCUAACUACGUGCCAGCAGCCGCGGUAAUACGUAGGUGGCAAGCGUUAUCCGGAAUCAUUGGGCGUAAAGCGUUCGUAGGCGGCAUGACAAGUCUGGUGUUAAAUCCCGGGGCUCAACCUCGGUUCGGCACUGGAUACUGUUGAGCUAGAAUGUGGUAGAGGUGAAGGGAAUUCCUGGUGUAGCGGUGAAAUGCGUAGAUAUCAGGAGGAACACCGGUGGCGUAAGCGCUUCACUGGGCCAUUAUUGACGCUGAGGAACGAAAGCCGGGGGAGCGAAUGGGAUUAGAUACCCCAGUAGUCCCGGCCGUAAACGAUGGAUACUAGGUGUUGCGGGUAUCGACCCCCUGCAGUGCCGAAACCAACGCGAUAAGUAUCCCGCCUGGGGAGUACGCACGCAAGUGUGAAACUCAAAGGAAUUGACGGGGACCCGCACAAGCGGUGGAACGUGUGGUUUAAUUCGAAGCAACGCGAAGAACCUUACCAGGGCUUGACAUCUGAAGAAUCUUUGUGAAAGCAAGGAGUGCCUUCGGGAGCUUCAAGACAGGUGGUGCACGGUUGUCGUCAGCUCGUGUCGUGAGAUGUUGGGUUAAGUCCCGCAACGGGCGCAACCCUCGUUAUUAGUUGCUGAUAGCGGCAUGCUGCUAUAGAGCUCUCUAAUAAGACUGCCGGUGACAAACCGGAGGAAGGUGAGGACGACGUCAAAUCAUCAUGCCCCUUAUGCUCUGGGCUACACACGUGUUACAAUGGCUGGUACAACGAGCAGCGAACUUGCGAGAGUAAGCGAAUCUCUAAAAGCCAGUCUCAGUUCGGAUUGGAGUCUGCAACUCGACUCCAUGAAGUCGGAAUCGCUAGUAAACGCAGAUCAGCACGCUGCGUUGAAUACGUUCCCGGGUCUUGCACACACCGCCCGUCA
Molecule: ribosomal RNA, 1423 nt
Filed under: uncultured bacterium
Lineage: Bacteria
Description: 16S ribosomal RNA
Rfam family: Bacterial small subunit ribosomal RNA
Source: RNAcentral